Ochotona curzoniae (black-lipped pika) is the source of this 255-nucleotide long non-coding RNA. RefSeq lists it as uncharacterized. Lineage: Eukaryota; Metazoa; Chordata; Mammalia; Lagomorpha; Ochotonidae. The transcript is spliced from 3 exons. The record is from RefSeq and is a predicted model, not a curated record.
GUGCGCGCUGCCGCCUGCGCGUGGCGUCGUCUUACGUAGCGCGUCGCUCCGCCCCCGCUUCGCGUGCAGCCGCUCCUCCCGGGCUCAGGCGCUUUCCCUUCAGAGAGGGUUUUGCUGAGUCAACAGCUCUCGAUGACAGAAUGAACUGAAUGAAGUCUGAAAUAAAGUUUUGGUAGAACCAAGUAUAACAUGAGAUUCUUCUCCAACGCAAGUGGUACCGAGAGACUGCAGUGCAACUGCCAGGAAGACAAAGGU